GUGGCGAAGGCGGCUUACUGGACGAUGACUGACGUUGAGGCUCGAAAGCGUGGGGAGCAAACAGGAUUAGAUACCCUGGUAGUCCACGCCGUAAACGAUGACUGCUAGGUGUCGGGUAGCAAAGCUAUUCGGUGCCGCAGCUAACGCAAUAAGCAGUCCACCUGGGGAGUACGUUCGCAAGAAUGAAACUCAAAGGAAUUGACGG
RNAcentral lists this ribosomal RNA (205 nucleotides) under uncultured bacterium. Its description in RNAcentral is "partial 16S ribosomal RNA". It matches the Rfam family "Bacterial small subunit ribosomal RNA", at positions 712 to 916 of the family's 1533-position model. The record is from RNAcentral.